Molecule: long non-coding RNA, 671 nt
Organism: Felis catus (domestic cat)
Lineage: Eukaryota; Metazoa; Chordata; Mammalia; Carnivora; Felidae
Exons: 3
Source: RefSeq, a predicted model, not a curated record
AGGAGGGAGUUUCCUUCCGCAACUACAGCCAUGGCUUGGGUUAAACCUGGGUUCCCCCAGACCCCUGCUCUACAGAUCCUGAUCUUUUGAGCUCGUGGCAAAAAGUCACUUUAUUUGUCUCCCUAACAAUCACCAAGGGUCCCUUUCAUGACAAAUCCAGCCAGAUGGCCCAGGCUCCUAUUAAUGGACCAUAUCUUACAGGAGUCUCAGCUUCCUCACCUGGGAAACGGAAAUAACUCCUGCCUUAACGGAUGGCUGUGAAGGGUUGGAAUCAUGUAUAGGAAGAGCUUGGGCAAGUCAAUAAAUGGAAACUUCUGGUCUGGCCCGUCCUGUGAGGAAACCGAAGCUGCCCAGGGCCACACAGCUCGGAAGUGUUGGCACAGGAUUAACGAUAGUGCAUGCCUGAGUCCAGUCCAAAGCCUACGGUCUUUCCACUUUACCUCAUUGAUCAAGUCUUACUCUCCAUUGCAUGAGGCCUCACCCCUGACACACUGAAUGGAGCAUGGUCACUUCCUACCCACCCCUGCAUGCCUGGAAACUUCCUCGAGGUAUCUUCUCCUUCCCAGGCGCCCACUUACUCCACCUCUGCAAGUAAGGCUCUCCUCAGCCUUCGUUUCUGGAUCAAAUCACUUUUCAUCCUUUCCUGAUUUCUCUCACAAGUUUUGUACAAG